Long non-coding RNA from Trachemys scripta elegans, 1561 nucleotides. RefSeq lists it as uncharacterized. Lineage: Eukaryota; Metazoa; Chordata; Testudines; Emydidae. The record is from RefSeq and is a predicted model, not a curated record. The transcript is spliced from 7 exons.
GCCACCUGUGCCAGGAGGAGGGCGGGGGUGAUGCACGUGAGAGGAAUGAACACAGGCAAGGAAAAGUUAGAGGAACAUACCAUACAGCCCUCUCCCAGCCGAGGAAGAGACGUGUCUAAGGCCCCUCUUGCUCCAACCUGCACACCCCAGCUGCACGCUCCGCGGGAAGGAAAACUUGCCCGGGAAGCCGGGAGAGCAGCAGGUAACUACAGCGUGCAAGGAAACUGAGGGAGGGGCUCUUGGCUUCUUAGAAGGCAGCAGCAGCUUCUGUGGAAGCGACCCCCUAAGAAGAUUGGAAACUCUGAAGAAUGGACCAUAUUACACACACUCACACAUCGUAAAAUGUAUACUUACUAAGGAGCAGUUUGGAGAGGUAACAUACAAGCACAAUAACAAAGACAAAACAAAGAAAAGUGCACACUGAAUUGAACAAAGGGACACUUCAACAUUGCUGUUGCAUGCCACUGCAUACACUUGAUGGAACAACAGAUAUGUUCUGGAUCUCCAUAAUGUAAAUAAAAUCAGUCUCUGUGACCAAAAAGACAGAACUAAUUUGUGAUGGUCAUUAUACACUUACUACAAUCCACUGUCACAUCAAGAACCAGGUGGUCCACCACUGUGAAACAGGACAUAAGAGGAACACAGCCAAUUUUUGAUGAAUCUCUGCUGAGAGGCAAGUAAAACAUUGGAUUUUAGUAAGAGUACUGGGAAUGAUUAUACCUUACAGCAAAUAGCAAAGAAGCUGGUAGCACUGGAAGUUUACUGGGCUGGUUAUCAAUGCAGUGAGUGGAUUAAGUGGCAAAGACAGAAACUAGAACUCCAUCUCUGGGAAUUUGCCAUCAACAUGCCUAUUUUACGAGUACUUUGACUGGUGCUGGGUACUGCACCUAGCAUGGAGCCAACAGUUGUGCACAAUGACCUGGUCAGCGAGGAUGGUGACCCCAGAAUCUAUCCUGGAAAUAGAUGGGAGCCAGUGAUUCUGGUGAUGAAACCAGUCCCUGAGAAGGUUUUGCUACAGGAGCAGUUGUAGCACAUCCUGGGGUCAUACUUAGAGGAGUUUUACGGUUGCCCUCCCCAACCCAUGGAAAAGUGGCCUUCUGCAGAAUCGGCAGCAGAAACUGAAGAAGCAGAAGUCACCUUGGAGUUGGGAUCUGUCUGCGCAGUUGUCUGCCCACCACUGGGAUUCAUGGGUGCACGAGUCCACCUGCAUAGAUCAGACUGCAGGAUCAGGGCCUUUGUCUGAGAGAAGUGCAGUUAAUCUUCCCUCAAAAUGUCCACCUCUACUCAGAACACUCUUCAGAGAGAUGACCUUUUAUGACUCCUCCAAUGCAGUCAGGGUGUUCCGGGUGUAUGAAGGCAGCAGUAGGCCUGAACAGGGUUGAACAUGGCAAGAAUCGAAGGAAACAGGAUCAGACUUUAACAGCAGCAGCAUCUCCUGCACAUCUCAACUAACUUCUCUUUUUUUCCAAAAGGACAGAUAUUCUAAUCCAAGAGACUGUCAGAUGAGGGGGCACUUUCUUAAAACUCUCUCCAGUUGAAGGGAGCAAGACAUAUUGUUAUA